Molecule: ribosomal RNA, 272 nt
Filed under: uncultured prokaryote
Description: partial 16S ribosomal RNA
Rfam family: Archaeal small subunit ribosomal RNA
Source: RNAcentral
UACCAGCACCCCGAGUGGUCGGGACGAUUAUUGGGCCUAAAGCAUCCGUAGCCGGUUCUGCAAGUCUUCCGUUAAAUCCACCUGCUCAACAGAUGGGCUGCGGGGGAUACUACAGGGCUAGGAGGCGGGAGAGGCAAGCGGUACUCGGUGGGUAGGGGUAAAAUCCUCUGAUCCACCGAAGACCACCAGUGGCGAAGGCGGCUUGCCAGAACGCGCUCGACGGUGAGGGAUGAAAGCUGGGGGAGCAAACCGGAUUAGAUACCCUGUAGUCC